UACGUAGGCAGCGAGCGUUGUUCGGAGUUACUGGGCGUAAAGCGUGCGUAGGCGGUGUCUUAAGUUUGUUGUGAAAUCUCCCGGCUUAACCGGGAGGGUGCGGCGAAUACUGAGAUGCUGGAGUGCCGGAGAGGUAAGCGGAAUUCCUGGUGUAGCGGUGAAAUGCGUAGAUAUCAGGAGGAACACCUGCGGUGUAGACGGCUUACUGGACGGUAACUGACGCUCAUGCACGACAGCGUGGGGAUCAAACAGG
RNAcentral lists this ribosomal RNA (253 nucleotides) under uncultured bacterium. RNAcentral's name for it is "partial 16S ribosomal RNA". It matches the Rfam family "Bacterial small subunit ribosomal RNA", at positions 524 to 776 of the family's 1533-position model. The record is from RNAcentral.